GACGAACGCUGGCGGCGUGCUUAACACAUGCCAGUCGAACGCUGAAGCACCAGCUUGCUGGUGUGGAUGAGUGGCGAACGGGUGAGUAAUACGUGAGUAACCUGCCCUUGACUCUGGGAUAAGCCCGGGAAACUGGGUCUAAUACUGGAUGCUACAUGUCACCGCAUGGUGGUGUGUGGAAAGGGUUUACUGGUCUUGGAUGGGCUCACGGCCUAUCAGCUUGUUGGUGAGGUAAUGGCUCACCAAGGCGACGACGGGUAGCCGGCCUGAGAGGGUGACCGGCCACACUGGGACUGAGACACGGCCCAGACUCCUACGGGAGGCAGCAGUGGGGAAUAUUGCACAAUGGGCGAAAGCCUGAUGCAGCGACGCCGCGGGAGGGAUGACGGCCUUCGGGUUGUAAACCUCUUUCAGCAGGGAAGAAGCCACAAGUGACGGUACCUGCAGAAGAAGCGCCGGCUAACUACGUG
Molecule: ribosomal RNA, 470 nt
Filed under: uncultured bacterium
Lineage: Bacteria
Description: partial 16S ribosomal RNA
Rfam family: Bacterial small subunit ribosomal RNA
Source: RNAcentral